RNAcentral lists this ribosomal RNA (153 nucleotides) under Pseudotomentella tristis. RNAcentral describes it as "5.8S ribosomal RNA". It matches the Rfam family "5.8S ribosomal RNA". Rfam says of the family: 5.8S ribosomal RNA (5.8S rRNA) is a component of the large subunit of the eukaryotic ribosome. It is transcribed by RNA polymerase I as part of the 45S precursor that also contains 18S and 28S rRNA. Functionally, it is thought that 5.8S rRNA may be involved in ribosome translocation. RNAcentral also lists the same sequence under 30 other names. The record is from RNAcentral. Lineage: Eukaryota; Fungi; Basidiomycota; Agaricomycetes; Thelephorales; Thelephoraceae.
AACUUUCAGCAACGGAUCUCUUGGCUCUCGCAUCGAUGAAGAACGCAGCGAAAUGCGAUAAGUAAUGUGAAUUGCAGAAUUCAGUGAAUCAUCGAAUCUUUGAACGCACCUUGCGCUCCUUGGUAUUCCGAGGAGCAUGCCUGUUUGAGUGUC